CAAUAGCGUAUAUUAAAGUUGUUGCAGUUAAAAAGCUCGUAGUUGGAUUUCUGGUUGAAGCGACCGGUCGGGCGUUGAUUCGUCUGCACUGGAGUCGGUUUUGGCCAUCCUCUAGGAAAGUGCGUCUGGUAUUAAGUUAUCGGGCGUAUGAUCCUGGUCUUUUACUGUGAAAAAAUUAGAGUGUUUAAAGCAGGCCUUCGCCUUGAAUACAUUAGCAUGGAAUAAUAAGAUAGGACUUUGGUCUAUUUUGUUGGUUUGCAGACCGAAGUAAUGAUUAAUAGGGAUAGUUGGGGGUAUUUAUAUUCCGAUGUCAGAGGUGAAAUUCUUAGAUUUUCGGAAGAUAAACUUAUGCGAAAGCAUUUACCAAUGAUGUUUUCAUUAA
RNAcentral lists this ribosomal RNA (382 nucleotides) under uncultured eukaryote. RNAcentral describes it as "partial 18S ribosomal RNA". It matches the Rfam family "Eukaryotic small subunit ribosomal RNA", at positions 592 to 976 of the family's 1831-position model. The record is from RNAcentral.